AACAGUCCAAUUAACAGAAGCUCAAAUUCAAACCUAAGCAUGGCCCAAAUUACAAACCCAUUACAGCCCAAAUCCCCAACCCGAUUGCAGAAAACAAAAAUCAAUAGCAAGGAACCCUAGAAGAUCUAGGCGUCGCAGCCAAGCCUUCGGCGACAAGCCUCCGUACGCUCUGCGCCACAUCACCCCAGCCACGUCCACUGCUCCGUACACCUGCUAACACAAACGAACACAACACCGCAAAAAGAAAAGGACAACAUAUUGUAUUUUUAUUUUGAUUUUGAUUUUAUUUUCCUUUUUCGGCUAUAAAAGAAAAGGAAAAUCCCUUUGUAGUUUUUUGGACCCGGAUUCAAUAAAAAAAAUCAGAAUACCAAUAGGUGAUCUUUCCUGGGUUCUAUUCUUUCUUUUAUUCGCAGUUCUUCUUUUCGUUUUAUAUUCUGUUGAUUGUUUAUUAAAAAAGAAGCAGUAGCAGUAAAGGGAAGGGGAAACGUACCUUGUGGCCGGACCUCCUCUCUCUCCGUCAUCAUCGGAGUUUGGGCGAGGUUCGAAAGCCCCUGAGGACAACCUUCAUCGAAGCGGC
Molecule: long non-coding RNA, 577 nt
Filed under: Gossypium barbadense (sea-island cotton)
Lineage: Eukaryota; Viridiplantae; Streptophyta; Magnoliopsida; Malvales; Malvaceae
Description: long non-coding RNA (GBAR_LNC015429)
Source: RNAcentral